Molecule: ribosomal RNA, 253 nt
Filed under: uncultured bacterium
Lineage: Bacteria
Description: partial 16S ribosomal RNA
Rfam family: Bacterial small subunit ribosomal RNA
Source: RNAcentral
UACGGAGGGUGCAAGCGUUAUCCGGAUUCACUGGGUUUAAAGGGUGCGUAGGUGGGUUGGGAAGUCAGUGGUGAAAUCUCCGGGCUUAACUCGGAAACUGCCGUUGAUACUAUCAAUCUUGAAUAUCGCGUAGGUAAGCGGAAUAUGUCAUGUAGCGGUGAAAAGCUUAGAUAUGACAUAGAACACCAAUUGCGAAGGCAGCUUACUUCACGAUCAUUGACACUGAGGCACGAAAGCGUGGGGAGCAAACAGG